AUGAUGUGGUUCAGUGAUGAGGAGCAGGGUGUGAAAGGGCAGGCAGUGAAAGUAAUGGAGAAGCAGUCUUCCUCAAGGCCAUCUCUGCCAUCACUGGUGCUCUGCGAAGGAAAAGGCUGCUGCUCAUCGCCAGAAGACAGAGUGUAUUCAUUACUUCAGACACAACUUCUACCACAGAAAUGAGAGCUGGAAUACAGGCAUUUUAAAUUCUUUUAUUCUCCCACUUCCUCCUGGGCACAGAGGUUCCCCAGUUUUUUGCCCUCCAUUGAGAUUUUUGCCAGACUUUUCCCAAGCUUGCAGCAUUGAUAGAUUAGUCUGAUUUUCCUUGAUGUUCCAUUCCUCUCUUUGUAGCCUCUGUAGUACCAUUUGAACUGAGAAUUAUGUUGGUGAUGUAGUCUGAAAGUUUGUUCUAAUGUUAUUUUUUUUUUUUUAUUGCUUUUUGCCAAGUUUUAAACUUUUGUUUUAAACUUCAUCUAGAACUGUAUUUCUUUAAGUCUUCUAUCCAGCAGAAAUUCAGUGCAGAUUCGCAGUUUGCUCUGAAAUGAACAACUCAGAUACAGUGAUGCGUUUGCCUGCUCCUGCUUUGGAGUUUGAGUUUGGUUCUGAUUUCAUUGGUUCAGAUUGGGCGCUCAAGGACUGUGAUGGUGCAAGGGCUCAGUCCUCUUUAGCAGAGUGUUAGCUCCCCAUUUCUAGAGGCUCUAUCAAAAGCAAUAGUUAAGCACAUAGCUGUAUUCUUCAAUUGCCUUGUGUGAGUAUGUCCCACCACCUGCAUUCCACAGACAGAGCCCAUAGCUAUGGGGAAGGGAUUGCUUAGUCAAAGGCAGGUGGGAACUUGCAGAGGAGCAAGGAGCAUAAUAUCUUCUCUGAACUGCAAGCCUGUGGCUUAGCCAUUAGAUUAUUCUCCAUCCCCUGCAGAGGAAGAGAGAGAUUCACCAGCUCCAGGAAGCCUCUGCCUUCCAAUGGAGGAGCAGCUCUUAAAUCAGGGCAGGAUUUAAUGACAGGUACCCACUCCGCUCCUAAAAUGCAGGAGUGCUCCUCUGCUGUACAGUGAAUAAUAGGAUGCUGACUGCCUCAAUAUUUUAUAGGAAUGUACAUUUAUUGGGCUUCUG
RNAcentral lists this long non-coding RNA (1109 nucleotides) under Phasianus colchicus (ring-necked pheasant). RNAcentral describes it as "lncRNA (ENSPCLG00000015757.1)". The record is from RNAcentral. Lineage: Eukaryota; Metazoa; Chordata; Aves; Galliformes; Phasianidae.